AGAGCGAACGCUGGCGGCAUGCUUAACACAUGCAAGUCGCACGGGCAGGGGAAACCCUGUCAGUGGCGGACGGGUGAGUAACGCGUAGGUAUCUAUCCUUGGGUGGGGGACAACUGUGGGAAACUACAGCUAAUACCGCAUGAUGACCGAGGUCCAAAGCUCGCGAGAGCGCCUGGGGAGGAGCCUGCGUACGAUUAGCUAGUUGGUGGGUAAAGGCCUACCAAGGCGACGAUCGUUAGCUGGUCUGAGAGGAUGAUCAGCCACAUUGGGACUGAGACACGGCCCAAACUCCUACGGGAGGCAGCAGUGGGGAAUAUUGGACAAUGGGCGAAAGCCUGAUCCAGCAAUGCCGCGUGUGUGAAGAAGGUCUUCGGAUUGUAAAGCACUUUCGACGGGGACGAUGAUGACGGUACCGUAGAAGAAGCCCCGGCUAACUUCGUGCCAGCAGCCG
This 451-nucleotide ribosomal RNA is filed under the name uncultured bacterium. RNAcentral's name for it is "SSU rRNA". It matches the Rfam family "Bacterial small subunit ribosomal RNA", at positions 26 to 517 of the family's 1533-position model. The record is from RNAcentral.